Molecule: ribosomal RNA, 253 nt
Filed under: uncultured bacterium
Lineage: Bacteria
Description: partial 16S ribosomal RNA
Rfam family: Bacterial small subunit ribosomal RNA
Source: RNAcentral
UACGUAGGGGGCUAGCGUUGUCCGGAAUCAUUGGGCGUAAAGCGCGUGUAGGCGGUCCGGUAAGUCCGCUGUGAAAGUCGAGGGCUCAACCCUCGAAUGCCGGUGGAUACUGUCGGGCUUGAGUACGGGAGAGGCGAGUGGAAUUCCUGGUGUAGCGGUGAAAUGCGCAGAUAUCAGGAGGAACACCAGUGGCGAAGGCGGUUCUCUGGGCAUUACCUGACGCUGAGGAGCGAAAGUGUGGGGAGCGAACAGG